GAUGAACGCUGGCGGCGUGCUUAACACAUGCAAGUCGAACGGGAGACCUGUUAUUGAAGCUUCGGCAGAUUUAGCUGGUUUCUAGUGGCGGACGGGUGAGUAACGCGUGGGUAACCUGCCCUAUACAGGGGGAUAACAACCAGAAAUGGUUGCUAAUACCGCAUAAGCGCACAGGACCGCAUGGUCCGGUGUGAAAAACUCCGGUGGUAUAGGAUGGACCCGCGUUGGAUUAGCCAGUUGGCAGGGUAACGGCCUACCAAAGCGACGAUCCAUAGCCGGCCUGAGGGGGUGAACGGCCACAUUGGGACUGAGACACGGCCCAGACUCCUACGGGAGGCAGCAGUGGGGAAUAUUGCACAAUGGGGGAAACCCUGAUGCAGCGACGCCGCGUGAAGGAAGAAGUAUCUCGGUAUGUAAACUUCUAUCAGCAGGGAAGAUAGUGACGGUACCUGACUAAGAAGCCCCGGCUAACUACGUGCCAGCAGCCGCGGUAAUACGUAGGGGGCAAGCGUUAUCCGGAUUUACUGGGUGUAAAGGGAGCGUAGACGGAUUAGCAAGUCUGAUGUGAAAGGCAGGGGCUCAACCCCUGGACUGCAUUGGAAACUGCCAGUCUUGAGUGCCGGAGAGGUAAGCGGAAUUCCUAGUGUAGCGGUGAAAUGCGUAGAUAUUAGGAGGAACACCAGUGGCGAAGGCGGCUUACUGGACGGCAACUGA
RNAcentral lists this ribosomal RNA (714 nucleotides) under uncultured Lachnospiraceae bacterium. Its description in RNAcentral is "bacterial SSU rRNA". It matches the Rfam family "Bacterial small subunit ribosomal RNA", at positions 28 to 743 of the family's 1533-position model. Lineage: Bacteria; Bacillati; Bacillota; Clostridia; Lachnospirales; Lachnospiraceae. The record is from RNAcentral.